CCACGCAGGGUGUUGAUGGACCCCCGGGCUUCCCAGGAACCCCUGGAGAUCCCGGAACGAAAGGAGAGAAGGGAGAGCGCGGCGAUGGUCAGCCCGGUGCCAGAGGGCCACCGGGUCCUCCCGGACCGCCGGGACCAGGAAGCAGAUCUACUUACGUGGACAUGGAGGGCUCAGGAUUCCCUGAUCUGGAAUCAAUUCGGGUCAGUGCGGUACCAGCGCAAUACGUGAAAGGAUACACAACGGAACGUGU
Long non-coding RNA from Hippocampus comes (tiger tail seahorse), 250 nucleotides. RefSeq lists it as uncharacterized. The transcript has 3 exons. The record is from RefSeq and is a predicted model, not a curated record. NCBI's taxonomy places the organism in Eukaryota, Metazoa, Chordata, Actinopteri, Syngnathiformes, Syngnathidae.